This 539-nucleotide ribosomal RNA is filed under the name Pseudopyrenochaeta lycopersici. RNAcentral's name for it is "eukaryotic LSU rRNA". The stretch from base 169 to 322 matches the Rfam family "5.8S ribosomal RNA". The record is from RNAcentral. Lineage: Eukaryota; Fungi; Ascomycota; Dothideomycetes; Pleosporales; Pseudopyrenochaetaceae.
CUUGGGGGCUGGUGGAGGGUUGCGCACUUUGUGCGUGUUCCUUCCCCGCCCUGUCUGCUACUGCCCAUGUCUUUUGCGUACCCAUUGUUUCCUCGGCGGGUUUGCCCGUCGAUUGGACACUACAACCCUUUGUAAUUGCAAUCAGCGUCAGAAAACUAUAAUUAUUACAACUUUCAACAACGGAUCUCUUGGUUCUGGCAUCGAUGAAGAACGCAGCGAAAUGCGAUAAGUAGUGUGAAUUGCAGAAUUCAGUGAAUCAUCGAAUCUUUGAACGCACAUUGCGCCCCUUGGUAUUCCAUGGGGCAUGCCUGUUCGAGCGUCAUUUGUACCCUCAAGCAUUGCUUGGUGUUGGGUGUUUGUCCCGCUGUUACGCGUGGACUCGCCUUGAAGCAAUUGGCAGCCGGCAAUCUGGUGAUGGAGCGCAGCACAUUUUGCGCUUCUUGCUAUAGAUAACGGCGUCCAUCAAGCCUUUUUUUUGCUCUUGACCUCGGAUCAGGUAGGGAUACCCGCUGAACUUAAGCAUAUCAAUAAGCGGAGGA